UAGCGGGUUUAACACUGCCUGGGCGAUUCACCAGGACUACCCGGCUGAAAAUUUCCAGAGGGUUACACCGUCAGGACAAGGAUUUCUCACUGCUCAACCGCCUGAGCUGACGGCCACGCAAGAAACAAGCGCCGCGGUAGCUGCGUUACUGGUUGUCCAGGGAUUAUCUGCGGGUGAAGCG
This is a long non-coding RNA of Epinephelus fuscoguttatus (brown-marbled grouper), 181 nucleotides long. RefSeq lists it as uncharacterized. NCBI's taxonomy places the organism in Eukaryota, Metazoa, Chordata, Actinopteri, Perciformes, Serranidae. The record is from RefSeq and is a predicted model, not a curated record. The transcript has 3 exons.